GCUAUGGCUCAGUUGGUAGAGCGCACCCUUGGUAAGGGUGAGGUCCCCAGUUCGACUCUGGGUAUCAGCACCA
RNAcentral lists this transfer RNA (73 nucleotides) under Escherichia coli. RNAcentral describes it as "tRNA-Thr". It matches the Rfam family "tRNA". Rfam says of the family: Transfer RNA (tRNA) molecules are approximately 80 nucleotides in length. Their secondary structure includes four short double-helical elements and three loops (D, anti-codon, and T loops). Lineage: Bacteria; Pseudomonadati; Pseudomonadota; Gammaproteobacteria; Enterobacterales; Enterobacteriaceae. The record is from RNAcentral.